RNAcentral lists this ribosomal RNA (497 nucleotides) under uncultured bacterium. Its description in RNAcentral is "partial 16S ribosomal RNA". It matches the Rfam family "Bacterial small subunit ribosomal RNA", at positions 28 to 507 of the family's 1533-position model. The record is from RNAcentral.
GAUGAACGCUGGCGGCGUGCCUAAUACAUGCAAGUCGAGCGAACAGAUGAGGAGCUUGCUCCUCUGACGUUAGCGGCGGACGGGUGAGUAACACGUGGAUAACCUACCUAUAAGACUGGGAUAACUUCGGGAAACCGGAGCUAAUCCCGGAUAAUAUAUUGAACCGCAUGGUUCAAUAGUGAAAGACGGUUUUGCUGUCACUUAUAGAUGGAUCCGCGCCGCAUUAGGUAGUUGGUAAGGUAACGGCUUACCAAGGCAACGAUGCGUAGCCGACCUGAGAGGGUGAUCGGCCACACGGGAACUGAGACACGGUCCAGACUCCUACGGGAGGCAGCAGUAGGGAAUCUUCCGCAAUGGGCGAAAACCUGACGGAGCAACGCCGCGUGAGUGAUGAAGGUCUUCGGAUCGUAAAACUCUGUUAUUAGGGAAGAACAAAUGUGUAAGUAACUAUGCACGUCUUGACGGUACCUAAUCAGAAAGCCACGGCUAACUACGUG